UACGUAGGUGGCAAGCGUUAUCCGGAUUUACUGGGUGUAAAGGGCGUGUAGGCGAGAAAGCAAGUCAGAUGUGAAAACCACGGGCUCAACCUGUGGCCUGCAUUUGAAACUGUUUUUCUUGAGUACUGGAGAGGCAGACGGAAUUCCUCGUGUAGCGGUGAAAUGCGUAGAUAUGAGGAGGAACACCAGUGGCGAAGGCGGUCUGCUGGACAGCAACUGACGCUGAGGCGCGAAAGCGUGGGGAGCAAACAGG
This 253-nucleotide ribosomal RNA is filed under the name uncultured bacterium. Its description in RNAcentral is "partial 16S ribosomal RNA". It matches the Rfam family "Bacterial small subunit ribosomal RNA", at positions 524 to 776 of the family's 1533-position model. The record is from RNAcentral.